AUUCCAAUCGAACUCGGAGAUAGCUGGUUCUCCCCGAAAUAGCUUUAGGGCUAGCCUCGAUUUAGAUUACCGGGGGUAGAGCACUGAAUGGGCUAGGGGGCCACAAAGCUUACCGAACCCUAUCAAACUUCGAAUACCGGAUAAUUGAUGAUCGGGAGUCAGACAGUGUGAGAUAAGUUUCAUUGUCGAAAGGGAAACAGCCCAGAUCUACGACUAAGGUCCCAAAGUUCAAGUUAAGUGGAAAAGGAUGUGCAAUUGCGUAGACAACCAGGAUGUUGGCUUAGUAGCAGCCAUUCAUUCAAAGAGUGCGUAAUAGCUCACUGGUCGAGUGAUUGUGCGCCGAAAAUGUAACGGGGCUAAACUUGACACCGAAGUCUAGGCAGAAGGAAACUUCUGGGUAGGGGAGCAACGUGUACGGGCAGAAGCAGAAGCGGAAGCGACUGUGGACUGUACAGGAGAGAGAAUGCCGGCAUGAGUAGCGAGAGCAAAGUGAGAAUCUUUGCCGUCGAAAGCCUAAGGUUUCCUGAGGAAGGCUCGUCCUCUCAGGGUAAGUCGGGACCUAAGCCGAGGACAAUAGUCGUAGGCGAUGGACAAUCGGUUAAUAUUCCGAUACCGCCGAGCAACCGGAUGCAGUGACACAGAAGGAUAGGCAGAGCGUGGCGAUGGUAGACCACGUCCAAGCAGUGAGGCUGUUGUGUAGUGAAGUACGCACAACGUAAGGCUGGGCUGUGAUGGGGAACGAUUACGAUCGGUAAGCUGCUGAAUUCACGCUGGCGAGAAAAGCUGCUACGAAGCGAAGGCGCCCGUACCGCAAACCGACACAGGUAGGCGAGGAGAGAAUCCUAAGACGAGCGGGAGAACCCUUGUUAAGGAACUCGGCAAAAUGACUCCGUAACUUAGGGAGAAGGAGUGCCCAGGAAUGGGCCGCAGAGAAUAGACCCAAGCGACUGUUUACCAAAAACACAGGUCUGUGCGAAGUAGAGAUACGACGUAUACGGGCUGACACCUGCCCAGUGCCGGAAGGUUAAGGGGAAAUGUUAGGGCAACCGAAGCAUGGAACUUAAGCCCCGGUGAACGGCGGCCGUAACUAUAACGGUCCUAAGGUAGCGAAAUUCCUUGUCGGGUAAG
RNAcentral lists this ribosomal RNA (1128 nucleotides) under human gut metagenome. RNAcentral describes it as "bacterial LSU rRNA". It matches the Rfam family "Bacterial large subunit ribosomal RNA", at positions 826 to 1980 of the family's 2925-position model. The record is from RNAcentral.